RNAcentral lists this transfer RNA (76 nucleotides) under Phocaeicola dorei. RNAcentral's name for it is "Bacteroides dorei tRNA-Trp". It matches the Rfam family "tRNA". Rfam says of the family: Transfer RNA (tRNA) molecules are approximately 80 nucleotides in length. Lineage: Bacteria; Pseudomonadati; Bacteroidota; Bacteroidia; Bacteroidales; Bacteroidaceae. RNAcentral also lists the same sequence under 13 other names. The record is from RNAcentral.
ACGGGAGUAGCUCAGUUGGUAGAGCACCGGUCUCCAAAACCGGGUGUCGGGAGUUCGAACCUCUCCUCCCGUGCUA